Molecule: ribosomal RNA, 509 nt
Filed under: Xylosandrus crassiusculus
Lineage: Eukaryota; Metazoa; Arthropoda; Insecta; Coleoptera; Curculionidae
Description: partial large subunit ribosomal RNA
Source: RNAcentral
AGUACGUGAAACCGUUUAGGGGUAAACCUGAGAAACCCGAAAGGUCGAAGGGAGAAAUUCAUUCGCGUUUCGACGUUGGCGUCGAACGGGGUCGUGCGACGGGACGCGUUCUUCGGAACGACAGUCUCGCGCCCUUCGUUCGUUUCGAACCGACGACGAACGCGUGCACUUUUCUCCUGGUAGGACGUCGCGAUCCGUCGGGUGUCGGUCUACGACGAUUUGCGGUGGAGACCGUCCGUCGUCUUCGUACGUUACGGACGGACCCGCUCGUUCCGGCCGACUCGCUCGACGGUAUAACCAACGGUCGGAGGCCGCUCGUUUAUUCAAAUAAGGAGCGUUCGACUCGUCGCAAGCGCGCCACGUGCGUCGGCACGCGGACCCAGUGCCGCGUCCGACCUCUGGUGACUGUUGGCGACGAAGUUCUCGAACAGACCUCUUUUUCUCCCUCAAAAGAGAGAAAGAAAGACCGAUCGGCGACGCUAUAGCUUUGGGUACUUUCAGGACCCGUC